GAUGAACGCUGACAGAAUGCUUAACACAUGCCAGUCCACUUGAACUUCGGUUUGGGUGGCGGACGGGUGAGUAACGCGUAAAGAACUUGCCUCACAGUUAGGGACAACAUUUGGAAACGAAUGCUAAUACCUGAUAUUAUGAUUUUAGGGCAUCCUAGAAUUAUGAAAGCUAUAUGCGCUGUGAGAGAGCUUUGCGUCCCAUUAGCUAGUUGGAGAGGUAACGGCUCACCAAGGCGAUGAUGGGUAGCCGGCCUGAGAGGGUGAACGGCCACAAGGGGACUGAGACACGGCCCUUACUCCUACGGGAGGCAGCAGUGGGGAAUAUUGGACAAUGGACCAAGAGUCUGAUCCAGCAAUUCUGUGUGCACGAUGAAGUUUUUCGGAAUGUAAAGUGCUUUCAGUUGGGAAGAAAAAAAUGACGAUACCAACAGAAGAAGUGACGGCUAAAUACGUG
Molecule: ribosomal RNA, 454 nt
Filed under: uncultured bacterium
Lineage: Bacteria
Description: partial 16S ribosomal RNA
Rfam family: Bacterial small subunit ribosomal RNA
Source: RNAcentral